RNAcentral lists this ribosomal RNA (253 nucleotides) under uncultured bacterium. Its description in RNAcentral is "partial 16S ribosomal RNA". It matches the Rfam family "Bacterial small subunit ribosomal RNA", at positions 524 to 776 of the family's 1533-position model. The record is from RNAcentral.
UACAGAGGGUGCGAGCGUUAAUCGGAAUUACUGGGCGUAAAGCGCGCGUAGGCGGUUUUGCAAGUCGGGUGUGAAAUCCCCAGGCUUAACCUGGGAACUGCAUUCGAGACUGCAUUACUAGAGUAUGGGAGAGGGAAGUGGAAUUUCCGGUGUAGCGGUGAAAUGCGUAGAUAUCGGAAGGAACACCAGUGGCGAAGGCGGCUUCCUGGACACCAACUGACGCUGAGACGCGAAAGCGUGGGGAGCGAACAGG